RNAcentral lists this ribosomal RNA (384 nucleotides) under uncultured bacterium. RNAcentral describes it as "bacterial SSU rRNA". It matches the Rfam family "Bacterial small subunit ribosomal RNA", at positions 29 to 416 of the family's 1533-position model. The record is from RNAcentral.
AUUGAACGCUGGCGGCAUGCUUUACACAUGCAAGUCGAACGGUAACAGGCCUUCGGGUGCUGACGAGUGGCGAACGGGUGAGUAAUGCAUCGGAACGUGCCCAAUCGUGGGGGAUAACGUAGCGAAAGUUACGCUAAUACCGCAUAAGCCCUGAGGGGGAAAGUGGGGGACCGCAAGGCCUCACGCGAAUGGAGCGGCCGAUGUCAGAUUAGCUAGUUGGUGGGGUAAAGGCUCACCAAGGCGACGAUCUGUAGCGGGUCUGAGAGGACGAUCCGCCACACUGGGACUGAGACACGGCCCAGACUCCUACGGGAGGCAGCAGUGGGGAAUUUUGGACAAUGGGCGCAGGCCUGAUCCAGCCAUGCCGCGUGCGGGACGAAGGCC